Exaiptasia diaphana is the source of this 257-nucleotide long non-coding RNA. RefSeq lists it as uncharacterized. The transcript is spliced from 3 exons. Lineage: Eukaryota; Metazoa; Cnidaria; Anthozoa; Actiniaria; Aiptasiidae. The record is from RefSeq and is a predicted model, not a curated record.
CCACAMACAGCAAUGUUAAAUAACAUCAAGAACACAUGAUAUCAAGAUGACUUUUCUCUUCUUCUGAAACGAAACCAUAACAUUUUGAAGAAGAUGUUUCAGAUGUCCCAGAAAAAAGCUUUUGCAUCAAAUCAAGGUUGAAAUGCACAUAUCAAGAGUCCAUUGAAGCAAAAAACAUUGUAGCUUUACUCACCUGUGAAGUUUAAUCUUGUGCUACGGAUAAAACGUACAUAGAAUUAAAAUACAAUAAUCAUUUG